Molecule: transfer RNA, 73 nt
Filed under: Enterococcus sp. 6D12_DIV0197
Lineage: Bacteria; Bacillati; Bacillota; Bacilli; Lactobacillales; Enterococcaceae
Description: tRNA-Met
Rfam family: tRNA (bases 6-66)
About the family: Transfer RNA (tRNA) molecules are approximately 80 nucleotides in length.
Source: RNAcentral
GUAUCUUAGAUCAGUUGGUUAGAGUAGACGGCUCAUAACCGUCCGAUCGUAGAUUCGAGUCCUACAAGGUGAA